CAGGUCUGUGAUGCCCUUAGACGUUCUGGGCCGCACGCGCGCUACACUGACGGAGCCAGCGAGUCGACCAAGCCCGAGAGGGCUAGGUAAUCUUGUGAAACUCCGUCGUGCUGGGGAUAGAGCAUUGCAAUUAUUGCUCUUCAACGAGGAAUUCCUAGUAAGCGCAAGUCAUCAGCUUGCGUUGAUUACGU
This 191-nucleotide ribosomal RNA is filed under the name Xanthomonas citri pv. citri. RNAcentral describes it as "partial 16S ribosomal RNA". It matches the Rfam family "Eukaryotic small subunit ribosomal RNA", at positions 1457 to 1650 of the family's 1831-position model. The record is from RNAcentral. Lineage: Bacteria; Pseudomonadati; Pseudomonadota; Gammaproteobacteria; Lysobacterales; Lysobacteraceae.